RNAcentral lists this ribosomal RNA (490 nucleotides) under uncultured bacterium. RNAcentral describes it as "partial 16S ribosomal RNA". It matches the Rfam family "Bacterial small subunit ribosomal RNA", at positions 30 to 507 of the family's 1533-position model. The record is from RNAcentral.
AUUGAACGCUGGCGGCAGGCCUAACACAUGCAAGUCGAAUGGUAACAGGAAACAGCUUGCUGUUUCGCUGACGAGUGGCGGACGGGUGAGUAAUGUCUGGGAAACUGCCUGAUGGAGGGGGAUAACUACUGGAAACGGUAGCUAAUACCGCAUAACGUCGCAAGACCAAAGAGGGGGACCUUCGGGCCUCUUGCCAUCAGAUGUGCCCAGAUGGGAUUAGCUAGUAGGUGAGGUAACGGCUCACCUAGGCGACGAUCCCUAGCUGGUCUGAGAGGAUGACCAGCCACACUGGAACUGAGACACGGUCCAGACUCCUACGGGAGGCAGCAGUGGGGAAUAUUGCACAAUGGGCGCAGGCCUGAUGCAGCCAUGCCGCGUGUAUGAAGAAGGCCUUCGGGUUGUAAAGUACUUUCAGCGGGGAGGAAGGGAGUAAAGUUAAUACCUUUGCUCAUUGACGUUACCCGCAGAAGAAGCACCGGCUAACUCCGUG